RNAcentral lists this ribosomal RNA (444 nucleotides) under uncultured bacterium. RNAcentral describes it as "SSU rRNA". It matches the Rfam family "Bacterial small subunit ribosomal RNA", at positions 26 to 518 of the family's 1533-position model. The record is from RNAcentral.
AGAACGAACGCUGGCGGCAUGCCUAACACAUGCAAGUCGAACGAGACCUUCGGGUCUAGUGGCGCACGGGUGCGUAACGCGUGGGAAUCUGCCCUUAGGUACGGAAUAACAGUGAGAAAUUACUGCUAAUACCGUAUGAUGUCUUCGGACCAAAGAUUUAUCGCCUAGGGAUGAGCCCGCGUUGGAUUAGCUAGUUGGUGGGGUAAAGGCCUACCAAGGCGACGAUCCAUAGCCGGUCUGAGAGGAUGAUCAGCCACACUGGGACUGAGACACGGCCCAGACUCCUACGGGAGGCAGCAGUGGGGAAUAUUGGACAAUGGGCGAAAGCCUGAUCCAGCAAUGCCGCGUGAGUGAAGAAGGCCUUCGGGUUGUAAAGCUCUUUUACCCGGGAAGAUAAUGACUGUACCGGGAGAAUAAGCCCGGCUACUCCGCGCCAGCAGCCGC